CAACAAAAAUCCUCUAAUUAACUGUAAAAAGAAGAAUUGGAAAAAACAAAAAAAAAAGACACAUCAAAUCUCAGUCGUCAUUGCCCUAAAGAGAAAUAGUUUAGAAGGAAUAACUGAGUAGGCAUAUGAAAUGAAACCACCAUAUUGAUUUAGGUUUUCUUUUAAUUCCCCUUCACAACCCAAUUUAGCUUCCAAAAAAAGGGAGAAUGUUCUAUAUUGUGGUGGACAAAUGUUUUAUCUUGUAUUGAUGGGAAAAUAAAUGAAAUGCAAUGUUUCAAUGAAAAGGAAUAAUUGGGAAAGAAUAAAAACAAGGGGACCAACUACAAUGAGUUUGUUAAAAGUCUAUUAGCAAUCAAUAAUUUAAUUAAUUCACUUAGGAAGUUUGUUAACAAGUUUCAAUGACUUCUCUCAGCAAUUUUUUUUAAAAUUAUUGCACAUUAUUUAUCAAUUAUAUAAG
Molecule: unclassified non-coding RNA, 457 nt
Filed under: Hevea brasiliensis (rubber tree)
Lineage: Eukaryota; Viridiplantae; Streptophyta; Magnoliopsida; Malpighiales; Euphorbiaceae
Source: RNAcentral